Long non-coding RNA from Oreochromis niloticus (Nile tilapia), 2471 nucleotides. RefSeq lists it as uncharacterized. The transcript has 3 exons. Lineage: Eukaryota; Metazoa; Chordata; Actinopteri; Cichliformes; Cichlidae. The record is from RefSeq and is a predicted model, not a curated record.
UCAUGUUUCACUCUGAUUGGACGACGCUCUUGUGUGGCUCCAGCGAUUGGCGGAGAGCAGGAAGACCCUUUGCGCUUGUCUGAAGUGUAGAGGAUUCUGGGGACGCAGCCAUCUCGUGUCAGAGAGAUGCAGUGUGUUUAUCGCACAUGGGACUGAUCUCCAUCCCCCGCUCUCUCUCCUUGUCUCCCUGCCUGAAGAACUCCUCCAUGAUUCUCUCUGUCCAUUGUCGAUACACAGCCAGAGGCUUUGUGGGAUUGCUCAGAAACAGGGCUUGAGCCCUUUGCAAGCAUCUGUGCAGACAUCAUGCUAACACAAAGCUAGGCAAGAACCCAGAAUGACAUAAUAGCUGAGUGGCUGCUGACCCCAGCCCAGCAGCCAGACCCUGAACUUCAACAGGUAACAAAAGCAAUAAGCUUGCUGGCCUCUAUUUAAACCUAUGCAGUUGAAUUACUGUGGCGAUUCCUUUAAAGUAUUUUUGGGCUCUUUAUAUGUGUGUCCUUGUUAGGGUAGGGAUUUCUGUUGGUGUGUGGGACUGUAGCCUCAGGUUUAUAAGUAAUAGAAAAGUAAAGAGUAAUGUGCAAUACAUUACCUUUUUUGAGUAAUGGCCGUAACAUUGAUUAACACUAUCCUGAAAUCUGAUAAGCAUGAAGAUUGUUUGCCCAUAGUCUACUUUGUCCCUUUAAGUUGUUUAACAUUUUGCAUUUUAAAUUGACAAAGCAACUGAAAAAAGGUGGCGCAAACCCAAUGUUUUUAUGACCUUUUUCACAUUCAUUCUCUUUUCCUUUCCUUUCUUCCACGAGUUGGUACAAUUCUCCAAAGUCUCAGUAACUGCUCUUUCCUCCUUAUUGAUCUUGACAGCUACUAGGCAAAAAUGUUCUUUAUGUUUAAAUCCUCAGAAAACAUCAUCCACUGCUUGCAGCUGAAUUUAAUUAACCUCUGUAUCUAACCUCCCAAUGAAAGGGUUGUAAAGAUGUUAUCAUUUAAUCCAGAUGUCACCUGAGCUCUUCCUUUAACUGCCACUGUUAAUGUCACCUGUUCUUUUGUGACAUCUGACUGGAGCAGUGCAAAUCACUUUGUUUCUCCAGUGGUGAGAAACUCCAGAUUAGCUGUCCUUACCAAAACUCUUGACACAUAUAAUAAUACAAUAAGUUGUUAGAAUCUAGUCUUUCAGGAUUCAAAUACUUUUCGAAUUAACACCGUUGUUUCGUCUUUGCUCAAAGACAGCUGAUCAGCUGCUUUAGAAACUGUCAGCAACCACCAUCACCUUGGCUGAGAUAUCUAGGGAUGUUUAAUUUCUGUCCCAUUCACCACACUUAUUAAAGCUCAGUUUCUUACUUUUAUUGGUAAAACAGUAGGACAGUCAGGUCAAGAUACACAGUUUACGUUUCCAGGUGGGUCAGAUUCAUGUAUAAAUUAGUAAAGGUAGAUCUGGACAUAGCUGUAACUCAUCAUUUUAUUAAAUGAGUCUUCAUAACUGUCAGUCUGGAUUGUAGACCUUGCAGGAGUUUGGUGUGUGAAGUAUAUUGUUCAACCAAGUAGCAACUUACAGCUCUGAAAGAUGAAGUAAUCAUUCAAAUGCCAAAAACUGCCACUUCAAAGGCUGGCUUCAAAACAGACAGUCCUCACAGGCUCCCAUGUUAAAAUGAUUUACAGUAGAGCAGAAAUAGGCAUGUUUACUGCUUGGAACAAACACCAGUUUGGUCUCUGUUACAAAUUUCUCUCAUAAUGAUAACUGUGAGGAUUUGGUAAUUUAGAAAAAAACAAAAAACGUUAACAUAUAAAACUUGCAUAAUCAGAGGCGUGCCCGCUUUUACUGACAGGUUUAGGCCAAUGCAAGCGGCUUUGCUUCUGCCAUUUGAAAGUCACCGAACUAGAAGUCUCAACUGUGUCAACACUUUUAGGUGCUUCCUUAAAUGUGAGUGCAUUGCACUUUGGUAACCAAGCAUGCUAGCAUUACAUGAUGCCCUAGCACUCCACCAUUGCAUUCAGAUACAUCCCUUCUGCGCCAAAAUAACAAGACUGCAACAGCCGUGGAGUCCAGCCUUGAAAACCAAAGCCCAGAAACUAAUGGCUGUCUUUGUGGUGGCUACACGUGUGUUAUACAUGCACUUUAAGGGUUUAGUUUAUUUAAAACAAAAUGCCAGCUUCAUAUUUAUUGUUUCCAAAUUGUCUCCACCAUUAAAAAACAUUGUGGUGCCUAAACUAGCAACAUACCACAAUAACAGCAAACAUGCAGGUUAUACAUAAUUUACAAGCUGUGUAAAACAGAGGUCCCCAAGAACUUGUUCUUCCCAGCUCCCUGCUAUGACUGAUGUUUCAUGUUGAUCAUACACUAACUUUCCUUACAUCUACCUUAUCCAAUCCAGUGUUUAUUUGAGCCACGUUCACUGUCUCAUUAUCUUUUAUAACAAUUUGAAAUAUUCCUCUCAUUAUUUGUUGAUUGAAGUACUUUUAAAUUAAUUGAAUAAUUG